This 377-nucleotide long non-coding RNA is filed under the name Androctonus crassicauda. Lineage: Eukaryota; Metazoa; Arthropoda; Arachnida; Scorpiones; Buthidae. The record is from RNAcentral.
GUUUUAAUAUUUUUGGAUAGGAAAUGAAAAUACCAUCAAAUAAAUAUUCAUAUAUAUUCAAUUCAUAGGACAGAAUAAGAUUAUUGAUCGGAAAAUUGCCUAGUUUUUGAUAAUUUGUUUUAAUAAUUAUAUUUGAUAUAAAAUUUGAAAUGGUGUUUCGUAAUGCGUAAUCUAAAUAACAAUUUUACAUUCACUGAAUUAAAAUAUUUUAACAUAACUAAAAAGAAACUUGUUUGCAUCUGUACCAUCAUACUGAUGACACAUGGCCGCAGGUCAGGUCAAGGACACCCACGCGUUGUACAAGAUCUAACUUAUAACCGUAUUAUUUAUGAAAUCUCGACAUAUAUAACAUAUAUACGCAUAUUAAUACAAAAUAU